UGUGAGCUCGAUGAGUAGGGCGGGACACGUGGUAUCCUGUCUGAAUAUGGGGGGACCAUCCUCCAAGGCUAAAUACUCCUGACUGACCGAUAGUGAACCAGUACCGUGAGGGAAAGGCGAAAAGAACCCCGGCGAGGGGAGUGAAAAAGAACCUGAAACCGUGUACGUACAAGCAGUGGGAGCACGCUUCGGCGUGUGACUGCGUACCUUUUGUAUAAUGGGUCAGCGACUUAUAUUCUGUAGCAAGGUUAACCGAAUAGGGGAGCCGAAGGGAAACCGAGUCUUAACUGGGCGUUAAGUUGCAGGGUAUAGACCCGAAACCCGGUGAUCUAGCCAUGGGCAGGUUGAAGGUUGGGUAACACUAACUGGAGGACCGAACCGACUAAUGUUGAAAAAUUAGCGGAUGACUUGUGGCUGGGGGUGAAAGGCCAAUCAAACCGGGAGAUAGCUGGUUCUCCCCGAAAGCUAUUUAGGUAGCGCCUCGUGAAUUCAUCUCCGGGGGUAGAGCACUGUUUCGGCAAGGGGGUCAUCCCGACUUACCAACCCGAUGCAAACUGCGAAUACCGGAGAAUGUUAUCACGGGAGACACACGGCGGGUGCUAACGUCCGUCGUGAAGAGGGAAACAACCCAGACCGCCAGCUAAGGUCCCAAAGUCAUGGUUAAGUGGGAAACGAUGUGGGAAGGCCCAGACAGCCAGGAUGUUGGCUUAGAAGCAGCCAUCAUUUAAAGAAAGCGUAAUAGCUCACUGGUCGAGUCGGCCUGCGCGGAAGAUGUAACGGGGCUAAACCAUGCACCGAAGCUGCGGCAGCGACGCUGAUGCGUUGUUGGGUAGGGGAGCGUUCUGUAAGCCUGCGAAGGUGUGCUGUGAGGCAUGCUGGAGGUAUCAGAAGUGCGAAUGCUGACAUAAGUAACGAUAAAGCGGGUGAAAAGCCCGCUCGCCGGAAGACCAAGGGUUCCUGUCCAACGUUAAUCGGGGCAGGGUGAGUCGACCCCUAAGGCGAGGCCGAAAGGCGUAGUCGAUGGGAAACAGGUUAAUAUUCCUGUACUUGGUGUUACUGCGAAGGGGGGACGGAGAAGGCUAUGUUGGCCGGGCGACGGUUGUCCCGGUUUAAGCGUGUAGGCUGGUUUUCCAGGCAAAUCCGGAAAAUCAAGGCUGAGGCGUGAUGACGAGGCACUACGGUGCUGAAGCAACAAAUGCCCUGCUUCCAGGAAAAGCCUCUAAGCAUCAGGUAACAUCAAAUCGUACCCCAAACCGACACAGGUGGUCAGGUAGAGAAUACCAAGGCGCUUGAGAGAACUCGGGUGAAGGAACUAGGCAAAAUGGUGCCGUAACUUCGGGAGAAGGCACGCUGAUAUGUAGGUGAGGUCCCUCGCGGAUGGAGCUGAAAUCAGUCGAAGAUACCAGCUGGCUGCAACUGUUUAUUAAAAACACAGCACUGUGCAAACACGAAAGUGGACGUAUACGGUGUGACGCCUGCCCGGUGCCGGAAGGUUAAUUGAUGGGGUCAGCGCAAGCGAAGCUCUUGAUCGAAGCCCCGGUAAACGGCGGCCGUAACUAUAACGGUCCUAAGGUAGCGAAAUUCCUUGUCGGGUAAGUUCCGACCUGCACGAAUGGCGUAAUGAUGGCCAGGCUGUCUCCACCCGAGACUCAGUGAAAUUGAACUCGCUGUGAAGAUGCAGUGUACCCGCGGCAAGACGGAAAGACCCCGUGAACCUUUACUAUAGCUUGACACUGAACAUUGAGCCUUGAUGUGUAGGAUAGGUGGGAGGCUUGGAAGUGUGGACGCCAGUCUGCAUGGAGCCGACCUUGAAAUACCACCCUUUAAUGUUUGAUGUUCUAACGUUGACCCGUAAUCCGGGUUGCGGACAGUGUCUGGUGGGUAGUUUGACUGGGGCGGUCUCCUCCUAAAGAGUAACGGAGGAGCACGAAGGUUGGCUAAUCCUGGUCGGACAUCAGGAGGUUAGUGCAAUGGCAUAAGCCAGCUUGACUGCGAGCGUGACGGCGCGAGCAGGUGCGAAAGCAGGUCAUAGUGAUCCGGUGGUUCUGAAUGGAAGGGCCAUCGCUCAACGGAUAAAAGGUACUCCGGGGAUAACAGGCUGAUACCGCCCAAGAGUUCAUAUCGACGGCGGUGUUUGGCACCUCGAUGUCGGCUCAUCACAUCCUGGGGCUGAAGUAGGUCCCAAGGGUAUGGCUGUUCGCCAUUUAAAGUGGUACGCGAGCUGGGUUUAGAACGUCGUGAGACAGUUCGGUCCCUAUCUGCCGUGGGCGCUGGAGAACUGAGGGGGGCUGCUCCUAGUACGAGAGGACCGGAGUGGACGCAUCACUGGUGUUCGGGUUGUCAUGCCAAUGGCACUGCCCGGUAGCUAAAUGCGGAAGAGAUAAGUGCUGAAAGCAUCUAAGCACGAAACUUGCCCCGAGAUGAGUUCU
This 2429-nucleotide ribosomal RNA is filed under the name Escherichia coli. RNAcentral describes it as "bacterial LSU rRNA". It matches the Rfam family "Bacterial large subunit ribosomal RNA", at positions 398 to 2812 of the family's 2925-position model. The record is from RNAcentral. Lineage: Bacteria; Pseudomonadati; Pseudomonadota; Gammaproteobacteria; Enterobacterales; Enterobacteriaceae.